GUGUCAGCAGCCGCGGUAAUACGGAGGGUGCAAGCGUUGUUCGGAAUUAUUGGGCGUAAAGCGCGUGUAGGCGGAUAGAUAAGUCAGGCGUGAAAUCCCUUGACUCAAUCAAGGAACUGCACUUGAAACUAUUUAUCUCGAGUACGAUAGGGGAGGGUGGAAUUCCCAGUGUAGAGGUGAAAUUCAUAGAUAUUGGGAGGAACACCAGUGGCGAAGGCGACCCUCUGGAUCGAUACUGACGCUGAGACGCGAAAGCGUGGGUAGCAAACAGGAUUAGAUACCCUGGUAGUCCACGCUGUAAACGAUGUGCACUAGGUGUUGGAGGUACUUAAUCCUUCAGUGCCGCAGCUAACGCAUUAAGUGCACCGCCUGGGGAUUACGGCCGCAAGGUUAAA
This 395-nucleotide ribosomal RNA is filed under the name uncultured bacterium. RNAcentral describes it as "bacterial SSU rRNA". It matches the Rfam family "Bacterial small subunit ribosomal RNA", at positions 505 to 898 of the family's 1533-position model. The record is from RNAcentral.